Molecule: ribosomal RNA, 300 nt
Filed under: Triticum aestivum (bread wheat)
Lineage: Eukaryota; Viridiplantae; Streptophyta; Magnoliopsida; Poales; Poaceae
Description: partial small subunit ribosomal RNA
Source: RNAcentral
AUGUCAGGUGACAUCUAUCUACGUCUAUUUUUGACACAUAUUGUUUUUUGUCAAAGAACAAUUACUCUGGCUUGCGAUGUUUUUAAUGCAGGACAAUUGUUCACUACAUCAACACGAUGUGGACGACUCAACCGUCCACGCCGGCUUACAACGCUCGCGGCAGUUUACCUCAUCCGCGCCGAUGUACAACGCCCGUGGCCGACUCUUGCAGAUAUAUCAACAAAUCAGAGUCAUGCCUGCCCAUACAAGCUGUCCAACGGACGUGUGCAAGCCGUUGACCUGUGGUCUGGUUUAUUCUAA